UUAGACAGCUAACAAAUACUUCCAGCUUAUUAAUUCCUGCUGGUUUCAAGGGGCCGUCAAAAUUCUUCUCUGCGAUCGUUAAAUAAAUCUUCGUACAAAGAUAUUAAGUCAACUAUUGUUCUUCAUUUGUUUCAACUAAAUUCCUUUUACAUGUGAAGAUCGCUGUCGGGCCGGAAAUUAAAUACAGAACCACCAUCUCCGAUCAAUGUAUUCCAGUCUGUUUUUUGUGUACAUACGGUUGUUCAAGGAUGUUGAGCCGAUGUGGUCCAACAAUUAGCUGGCCAUGAAAUUAAUAUGGAGACAGGGCCAGCUGAUGCGCUAGCCAGCCACAUCUCUAAUGUCAUGGUUUUACAAAUUAAUCAUGUUUUGUCCUUAGAUUUGAAAUACACUUAUAAAUUAGUCCUUCAUGUUUAAAAUACAUAUGAGCGUUGGUUUUUUCUUAAGAUUUCCAAUUGUAAAACUCUUUCAAAAAAGAAUUAUUGUUUCCAGUUUGAUUUCAAAACCAUGAAACCCGAAAAAACAACUGCUCUCUCCUUGAUAAUAUAAUUAUCAGCAAGAAUCGAAGAGACUAAGUUAUAACCUGAUCCUUUCAAUAGAUCUCAAGUUUGUUUUUCUGUCUCUCUUUUUGAUAUAAGAUGAUGAGGUUAUUGCUUCAUGUCAUUGGCUGCAGAUUCUGUGUGCUUAUUCUUCCAUGGGCUGUGAGAAGCAACUUGAUUUAUUUCUUGGUUGCAGAAAGGUUAUUGGCAAGGUUUCAAGGGUGGUGAUAAUAGGGACAAGAGCUUGAUCUUCAGAGUGAAAAGGACUGUGAAAAAGCUUGCAAGAACUGAGCUGGAGGUCUUUCUCGUCGGAGAGGUUUCUUGAGAGUCAAGACCUGACUUUAAGGUGAAAGGUUUCCCCUUCCAAAGAUCAUGCACGAUCUAUCGAGGCGAUUCCAUUUUAGCGCAGCUCACCAGCUAUGGAUUAUGGCCUAAAUUCAGCUUAAUCUCGUUUUGGAAGUUCCUUCAUUUUUCCAACUGGGAAGUUGAUAUCGGGAUUCUAAUAUCACGUUUGAUUUGAUGCUAUACAAGCUUCGCCAGACUUAUGCCCGGCGGAGUAAAUUUUGUUAACCAUAUUUCCUGGAUCUGUAUGUCAUUGCUUGAUAGUAUCUUCGAUUAUAAUUUUCUUAUAUGGACAGUAACAAGAAUUUACAUUUGUACAUCGUUCCAUACUCACGGGAAUGCAUUUGUUAUUUCUUUGCA
Populus trichocarpa (black cottonwood) is the source of this 1238-nucleotide long non-coding RNA. RefSeq lists it as uncharacterized. The record is from RefSeq and is a predicted model, not a curated record. NCBI's taxonomy places the organism in Eukaryota, Viridiplantae, Streptophyta, Magnoliopsida, Malpighiales, Salicaceae. The transcript has 2 exons.